Molecule: non-coding RNA, 86 nt
Organism: Byssothecium circinans
Lineage: Eukaryota; Fungi; Ascomycota; Dothideomycetes; Pleosporales; Massarinaceae
Source: the annotation of a GenBank genome assembly
GGGUCGAUAGCUCAGUGGUAGAGCGUAGGACUGCAGUUUCCGUUUCUGGAUUCCCGAGGUCACCGGUUCGAUCCCGGUUCGGCCCU